This 519-nucleotide ribosomal RNA is filed under the name uncultured eukaryote. Its description in RNAcentral is "SSU rRNA". It matches the Rfam family "Eukaryotic small subunit ribosomal RNA", at positions 1161 to 1704 of the family's 1831-position model. The record is from RNAcentral.
AGGGCACCACCAGGAGUGGAGCCUGCGGCUUAAUUUGACUCAACACGGGGAAACUCACCCGGCCCGGACACCAUAAGGAUUGACAGAUUGAUAGCUUUUUCGUGAUUUGGUGGAUGGUGGUGCAUGGCCGUUCUUAGUUCGUGGAGCGAUUUGUCUGGUUUAUUCCGAUAACGAGCGAGACUCUAGCCUACUAAAUAGUUUGCACAUUGCCUCUGUGUUGCAGUACUUCUUAGAGGGAUUUUCGGUGUACAGCCGCACGAGAUUGAGCAAUAACAGGUCUGUGAUGCCCUUAGAUGUCCGGGGCUGCACGCGCGCUACACUGGCGAAAUCAGCGUGCUUGUCCUUGCUCGAAAGAGCUUGGUAAACCAAUGAAAAUUUGCCGUGAUUGGGAUCGGAAGUUGCAAUUAUUUUCCGUGAACGAGGAAUUCCAAGUAAGUGCGAGUCAUCAGCUCGCGUUGAUUACGUCCCUGCCCUUUGUACACACCGCCCGUCGCUGCCUAGAACUGAGCCAUUUCGAGA